This 1265-nucleotide long non-coding RNA is filed under the name Ananas comosus (pineapple). RNAcentral describes it as "long non-coding RNA (ACOM_LNC029811)". The record is from RNAcentral. Lineage: Eukaryota; Viridiplantae; Streptophyta; Magnoliopsida; Poales; Bromeliaceae.
UAUAAUUAUUUAUUAAUAUUUCUAAAUACAUAACUCUUAUAUAUUAUUAAUAUAUAUUUAUUAUAACUUUGAAUAUAUUUAAUUUAUAUAAAAAAAGCAUAAAAAUAAUAUAUAUAGUAUAUUAGUUAUUAUAUAUUUAUUAUAUAGCCGAAUUUUUGAUUCCGUAUUUUUAAUUGGUAAACGUAUAAUAUCCGUAUAAAUUACGUAUCCGAACAAUUACCAAAUCCGUUUUUUGGCUAUAUUUUUCAACGAAUUUAAAAGUUAAAAGACGAAUUUUAUCCGAAUUAUACCCGUCCGAAUUUUUGCCGAAUCCGAAUUAACUAGCUAUGGAUAAGAUACAAUGAGUUUGUCAGAUUGAAUAAAUUAAAAUAGAUUAAACUUUUAAGAGGAUAUUUUACUUAUUAUUUAUCAAAAAUCUCUCCUAGAUAAUAUGAUAUCAUAGUCGGCUCUAAAUUUUUACAAAUCUGCGGUGGUGCGUUUGAUCUCCAUCUCUGUCAUUAGUUUAAUUAGUUAUAUUUUUUUUGUCAUAUUAUUAUAAUAGAUUAAAUUUCUAUUUCUUACCUCGUCACUCAUUCACUCACCUAUCUUUUUUUUUUUCUUUUUUUUUUCUUUUUUUUUUUAAGAGAGAUAAGCAACAUGCUAUCUGUUUCGUUUAUUUUAUUUAGAAAUAAACUUAGCUGGAAAUAUGAAUCAACUAGGAUUCCAACUUGGGUCUCGGAUACUAACCACCAAGCCCUUUACCACUUACUCUAGAGACGGUCGGUCUCAAUCACUCAUCUAUCCUAUUAUUUGUGCACACGAAGGAGAGUUCUAAGAUUAUUUCUUACUAAUUUUUUUAUGGGAAAACUUCAAAAACCCUCCUAGUGGUUUCGUAGUUUCUCACUUUGCCCCCCUGUGGUUUAAAGUGUAUCAAUUUGCCCCCCUGUGGUUUCAUUUUUAUUUUUUCGGUAGUUUUUUCGUUAAUAUUUCAUUAAAUUAUAUACAAAAAACUUCAGAUACUCAUCUAGAUUUAUCAAAUAUUCACUUUAGUACCCUUUAAUUUUAACUUUAUCACUGAUUUAAGAAAAAAAAAAUAAUAAAAUUGAUAAGAAAAAGAGAAAAAAGAAACCACAUGGAGGCAAAUUGAUACAUUUUAAACCACAGGGGGGUAAAGUGAGAAACUACGAAACCACAGGGAGGGUUUUUGAAGUUUUCCCUUUUUUUAAUUGUAUCAACCUUUAAAUACUAUGCAAUAAUAAUAAAUAGAAGUUGAUAACACAAUUGGG